AUGACCGGAUUGCUCGGGAAGUUGGUCGAGGGGUGGACGUCCCUCAGUGCCUCCGACAGCGACGCGGUUGCGAGGCAGUUCACUUCAUUUGUUCCAGAACAUACACACCGGCCAACUGGCUGUCGUGGCCGAUAUGACUACAACAGUUCCCAAGAGCCCGGUGACACACAAGAUGAUGUAGACGGAGACGCUGGCCUCAGCAAGGAUGACGACGACGACAUGGACAAUGUGCAUCAGGACACGGAUGACGAUGAACAAGCUGAAGUUCGCAGAGGCGGCAACAGGGGCAAGGAUGCAACAGAUGCCCCAGCACCGGAGAAAGUGAAAGAACAGACGGCUGCGAGAGGCCAGGGGGUGUUGCCAUCAAGGAGGGGGAGGGCUCCAGAUGAUGUUGGGCAGGGUUCUCAUGGCAAGAAGUCCAAGACGGACCCCGUAGCUCGCGGCAACGGCGAGCCGACCGCUGAUGGACGAAUAGUUACGAAUAAACAAGCGCCAACGCCAACCCGUGCUUCUGCUCGCUUGAACAAAGGUGCCCCCAUUGCUGGUGACACCCCUUCCACCAGGUUGUCUCCUCGUACGACGACGACCAACACCGGGGAUCCUGUUGUGUUGCCAGACAUGAGGAAGCCAGUCAAGAAGGUUAAGAAGACUACUACGCGCGGGGCCAAGCAUAGGAUAAAUGAUCCGCUUGAACGACUACAUUCAAAGUUGUCAACUGGGGGCAACUCAAAUGUACAUGAGGCACCCGUCGACAAUACUGCUGUUGCACCGAUGAUGGCUUCCACCAACCCUGAUGCAAGUGGCCGAUCAUCUCCGCCGGCUGCGGAUGCCGAGGCUACAACAACAGGCAUCCGUACAUCGGGGAGUGAUGAGUCCAUAUCUACCAGGACAGCUGAAAUAUUGCCAACUCUUCUGGCAAUGAAGGAAGCCGCAGUGAGCCACGCCACCCCAUCAGCAAGUGUUGAAGUGGACGCUACCGAGACGAACAUAGGCAAGGAAGAUUCGCGCUCUUCAGACACUGACUCCAAGGGCGUGCGGGAUGGCGCACCUGUGUCCACGACAGAAGCCGCUGAGGCGGCAGUUCAUAAGGAUAUGCCAUCUUUAGGAGAGAGUCAUGGCACAAAAGCUCCAGCCCCUGUCGGUGCAGAUACUGUUAAGGUUACCGUGGCGCGUGCUGGUCUUCCAGCUAGGCGUCGCAGCCCCCGUAAGCAACCAACAGUCGUACCCAAUGCACCGGCUGUACCUAGCAGCAGGAGAGACGAGUCUGGGUAUGUUCCUGCAUCAACACUGUUCCCUCCACCCGCCCAAAGCAAUGUGAUGGAGAACCCGCAAGACCGGAGCAAAACUAAGGCAGUUGUCAAGGCUGGCACGAGUGACGCAGGUGAACGGCCAGAGCAGACUGCGCCUUUACCCGCAGUGGAAAUCCCCAACAUAAAUCUGCGCACUUCCAGGCUGCCAGUCAAUGUUGGUGUCCCCUACAGCCCAAAUAAGAAGAUUGCCAUGAAAGCUGCUGCUGAUACCGCUGACAAGACGCCCCACCCUGCAAACAAGCCCGAACAUUUCGGAGCGGCUGAUUCAGAUAUGUUUGUUAAUCUUUCACCAUUGGAUUCUGCCCCGCAAAUCGUUCGUGGUCCGGCCAGUAGGAAUGAGAGGCACCCAAUGGCAUUUACCCCACCGAGCUUCAGCAUUGGCGUAAGUCAAGACCAAGCGGUGGUGCAUGAUCCUAUGCCAGUUGCCUUUGGUUUUCCAGGAGGCACGACAGCAAUGAUGGCGCAGCCAAUGGUCGAGGGCAGGAAGGCUGUCAAGUUCGCAGAGCCAAUUGUGCAAGCCACCCCUGAGGAAAUUUCACCGUCACUCAACGAAGCUUACCGCAAGAUUGAGGAGGUAGCAUUGCAGAGGAGGACAUCCCGAGGACAGGGGCAAUCAAGUUCCAACUUGACUGCGGAGAUGGCAACUGAGGAUACCAUCAGAAGCGCGACCCCUGGUUCUGUGAGACAGUAG
This 2001-nucleotide ribosomal RNA is filed under the name Triticum aestivum (bread wheat). Its description in RNAcentral is "partial small subunit ribosomal RNA". The record is from RNAcentral. Lineage: Eukaryota; Viridiplantae; Streptophyta; Magnoliopsida; Poales; Poaceae.